Molecule: ribosomal RNA, 475 nt
Filed under: uncultured bacterium
Lineage: Bacteria
Description: SSU rRNA
Rfam family: Bacterial small subunit ribosomal RNA
Source: RNAcentral
AGGACGAACGCUGGCGGCGUGCUUAACACAUGCAAGUCGAGCGGAAAGGCCCUUCGGGGUACUCGAGCGGCGAACGGGUGAGUAACACGUGAGCAAUCUGCCCCUAGCUCUGGGAUAGCUCCGGGAAACCGGAAUUAAUACCUGAUACGACCACGGCUGACAUCGGCCAUGGUGGAAAGCUUUUGCGGCUAGGGAUGAGCUCGCGGCCUAUCAGCUUGUUGGUGGGGUAACGGCCUACCAAGGCGACGACGGGUAGCCGGCCUGAGAGGGCGACCGGCCACACUGGGACUGAGACACGGCCCAGACUCCUACGGGAGGCAGCAGUGGGGGAAUAUUGCGCAAUGGGCGAAAGCCUGACGCAGCGACGCCGCGUGCGGGAUGAGGCCUUCGGGUUGUAACCGCUUUCAGCAGGGACGAAGCGAAAGGUGACGGUACCUGCAGAAGAAGCGCCGGCUAACUACGUGCCAGCAGCCGC